GACGAACGCUGGCGGCGUGCUUAACACAUGCAAGUCGAACGGAAAGGCCCUGCUUUUGUGGGGUGCUCGAGUGGCGAACGGGUGAGUAACACGUGAGUAACCUGCCCUUGACUUUGGGAUAACUUCAGGAAACUGGGGCUAAUACCGGAUAGGAGCUCCUGCUGCAUGGUGGGGGUUGGAAAGUUUCGGCGGUUGGGGAUGGACUCGCGGCUUAUCAGCUUGUUGGUGGGGUAGUGGCUUACCAAGGCUUUGACGGGUAGCCGGCCUGAGAGGGUGACCGGGGACGUGGGGAGGGGGAGACGGCGCGGACUCCUACGGGAGGCAGCAGUGGGGAAUAUUGCACAAUGGGCGGAAGCCUGAUGCAGCAACGCCGCGUGCGUGAUGACGGCCUUCGGGUUGUAAACCGCUUUCGCCUGUGACGAAGCGUGAGUGACGGUAAUGGGUAAAGAAGCACCGGCUAACUACGUG
RNAcentral lists this ribosomal RNA (468 nucleotides) under uncultured bacterium. RNAcentral describes it as "partial 16S ribosomal RNA". It matches the Rfam family "Bacterial small subunit ribosomal RNA", at positions 28 to 507 of the family's 1533-position model. The record is from RNAcentral.